UGAGGAAUAUUGCGCAAUGGGGGAAACCCUGACGCAGCGACGCCGCGUGGGUGACGAAGGCCUUCGGGUCGUAAAACCCUUUUGGCAGGGACGAGUGAGGACGGUACCUGUUGAAUAAGUCUCGGCGAACUACGUGCCAGCAGCCGCGGUAAAACGUAGGAGGCGAGCGUUAUCCGGAUUCACUGGGCGUAAAGCGCACGUAGGCGGUCGGGUAAGUCGGAUGUUAAAGCCCUUGGCUCAACUAGGGGAGGUCAUUCGAUACUGCUCGGCUUGAGGAUGAGAGAGGAAAGUGGAAUUCCCGGUGUAGCGGUGGAAUGCGUAGAGAUCGGGAGGAACACCAGUGGCGAAAGCGGCUUUCUGGCUCAUUCCUGACGCUGAGUGUGCGAAAGCGUGGGUAGCA
This 400-nucleotide ribosomal RNA is filed under the name uncultured bacterium. Its description in RNAcentral is "bacterial SSU rRNA". It matches the Rfam family "Bacterial small subunit ribosomal RNA", at positions 355 to 770 of the family's 1533-position model. The record is from RNAcentral.